This 749-nucleotide ribosomal RNA is filed under the name uncultured bacterium. RNAcentral's name for it is "bacterial SSU rRNA". It matches the Rfam family "Bacterial small subunit ribosomal RNA", at positions 28 to 772 of the family's 1533-position model. The record is from RNAcentral.
AUUGAACGCUGGCGGAAUGCUUUACACAUGCAAGUCGAACGGCAGCACGGGGGCAACCCUGGUGGCGAGUGGCGAACGGGUGAGUAAUACAUCGGAACGUGCCCAGUCGUGGGGGAUAACGUAGCGAAAGCUACGCUAAUACCGCAUACGAUCUACGGAUGAAAGCGGGGGAUCGCAAGACCUCGCGCGAUUGGAGCGGCCGAUGGCAGAUUAGGUAGUUGGUGGGGUAAAGGCCUACCAAGCCGACGAUCUGUAGCUGGUCUGAGAGGACGACCAGCCACACUGGGACUGAGACACGGCCCAGACUCCUACGGGAGGCAGCAGUGGGGAAUUUUGGACAAUGGGCGCAAGCCUGAUCCAGCCAUUCCGCGUGCAGGAUGAAGGCCCUCGGGUUGUAAACUGCUUUUGUACGGAACGAAAAGGCCUAGGCUAAUACCUUGGGCUCAUGACGGUACCGUAAGAAUAAGCACCGGCUAACUACGUGCCAGCAGCCGCGGUAAUACGUAGGGUGCGAGCGUUAAUCGGAAUUACUGGGCGUAAAGCGUGCGCAGGCGGUGAUGUAAGACAGAUGUGAAAUCCCCGGGCUCAACCUGGGAACUGCGUUUGUGACUGCAUCACUCGAGUACGGCAGAGGGAGGUGGAAUUCCGCGUGUAGCAGUGAAAUGCGUAGAUAUGCGGAGGAACACCGAUGGCGAAGGCAGCCUCCUGGGCCAGUACUGACGCUCAUGCACGAAAGCGUGGGGAGCAAA